Molecule: small nuclear RNA, 119 nt
Filed under: Ovis aries (sheep)
Lineage: Eukaryota; Metazoa; Chordata; Mammalia; Artiodactyla; Bovidae
Description: U4 spliceosomal RNA (ENSOARG00000023237.1)
Rfam family: U4 spliceosomal RNA (bases 1-81)
About the family: U4 small nuclear RNA (U4 snRNA) is a component of the major U2-dependent spliceosome. The structure of U4 snRNA from yeast and human has been reported.
Source: RNAcentral
AGCUUUGCGCAGUGGCAGUAUCGUAGCCAAUGAGGUUUAUCCGAGGCGCGAUUAUUGCUAAUUGAAAAAAAAAAAAAAAAGGAAUAUGGGUGCUAAAUUCUCUGUUGCACUGCAGGGUC